CAGCCGUAAACAAUGUGCGUUAGGUGUGUCGGUAACCACGUGUUACUGAUGCGCCGAAGAGAAAUCGUGAAACGCACCACCUGGGAAGUACGGUCGCAAGGCUGAAACUUAAAGGAAUUCGGCGGGGGAGCACCACAACAGGUGGAGCCUGCGGUUUAAUUGGAUUCAACGCCGGACAUCUCACCGGAUAAGACAGCUGAAUGAUUGUCAAUCUGAAGGUUUUACAUGACUAGCUGAGAGGUGGUGCAUGGCGUCAGUGACU
This 262-nucleotide ribosomal RNA is filed under the name uncultured archaeon. RNAcentral describes it as "partial 16S ribosomal RNA". It matches the Rfam family "Archaeal small subunit ribosomal RNA", at positions 748 to 1008 of the family's 1478-position model. The record is from RNAcentral.